This 484-nucleotide ribosomal RNA is filed under the name uncultured bacterium. Its description in RNAcentral is "partial 16S ribosomal RNA". It matches the Rfam family "Bacterial small subunit ribosomal RNA", at positions 30 to 507 of the family's 1533-position model. The record is from RNAcentral.
AUUGAACGCUGGCGGUAGGCCUAACACAUGCAAGUCGAGCGGAUGAAGGGAGCUUGCUCCUGGAUUCAGCGGCGGACGGGUGAGUAAUGCCUAGGAAUCUGCCUGGUAGUGGGGGAUAACGUCCGGAAACGGGCGCUAAUACCGCAUACGUCCUGAGGGAGAAAGUGGGGGAUCUUCGGACCUCACGCUAUCAGAUGAGCCUAGGUCGGAUUAGCUAGUUGGUGGGGUAAAGGCCUACAAAGGCGACGAUCCGUAACUGGUCUGAGAGGAUGAUCAGUCACACUGGAACUGAGACACGGUCCAGACUCCUACGGGAGGCAGCAGUGGGGAAUAUUGGACAAUGGGCGAAAGCCUGAUCCAGCCAUGCCGCGUGUGUGAAGAAGGUCUUCGGAUUGUAAAGCACUUUAAGUUGGGAGGAAGGGCAGUAAGUUAAUACCUUGCUGUUUUGACGUUACCAACAGAACAAGCACCGGCUAACUUCGUG